GACGAACGCUGGCGGCGUGCUUAACACAUGCAAGUCGAGCGGUAAGGCCCUUUCGGGGGUACACGAGCGGCGAACGGGUGAGUAACACGUGGGUGACCUGCCCUCAGCUCUGGGAUAGGCCUGGGAAACUGGGUCUAAUACCGGAUAUGACUCCAUGACGCAUGUUGUGGGGUGAAAGCCUUGUGCGGCUGAGGAUGGGCCCGCGGCCUAUCAGCUUGUUGGUGGGGNGAUGGCCUACCAAGGCGACGACGGGUAGCCGGCCUGAGAGGGCGACCGGCCACACUGGGACUGAGACACGGCCCAGACUCCUACGGGAGGCAGCAGUGGGGAAUCUUGCGCAAUGGGCGAAAGCCUGACGCAGCGACGCCGCGUGAGGGAUGACGGCCUGGUGU
Molecule: ribosomal RNA, 392 nt
Filed under: uncultured bacterium
Lineage: Bacteria
Description: bacterial SSU rRNA
Rfam family: Bacterial small subunit ribosomal RNA
Source: RNAcentral